GGAAGCCGCGAUCCUGGUUCCUCCAGGGCGCGUCAAUUACGGACUGCACUUCGGAGAGCAUCUCGGAGCUUUGGCCCUCCCGUGAUGUCAUCACUUGUGAUCCCUGACAUGGAGGCCAUAUAUGGAUAUGUUUCUGGAACUCCCCAGGAGGGAGCGAGAGAGGAGAGAGAUGCAGAGGAUCUGUCUCUCUUUCUUGGUGCAUGUGUGUGGUGAGAGGCACCUGGCACCUUGGGGAGAGCUCAGGCCUGGCCUCUAGGGUGCUGGUCUUGGCCCUUCUGGAAAGUUCUGUGUGACCCUAUGCAAGUCUUUCCCCUCUCUGGAGCCCUGAGGAAAGAAGGAAGGCACGGUCCUGAGAGCUGUUAAGAACACAGGCUCCUCCAGACUCUGAGCGCCUCUGAAACCAGAAUGAGCAGCUAUUCCACUGAAGCCAGCCAGCAUCCCCUCCAAACUGCACUGUCAUCGCUCCUGGCCGGGCCGCCGAGAAGCAUGUGACCUGGGUGCACACCGGUUCUGCCAGCAGUCAGGGCUGUGCUGUGGGGGACGACUGCCAGCCCCUGGGCUCCUCUUCUUGUUGAUGCAGGGCCUAUGGGUGGCCCCAGAUGGCCAGCUGGCCCCUCAGUCUUGUCCUUCUCUCCAGGCCUCUAGGUCUCUAUUUAGCCUGACCAAAUGGGAUCAGGUGUCUGCUGUGUCACAAGUCCUGGGAUGAGGACCAUUGGGGCCUGAAGAUAAUCUCCAGGCUGCGGUGCCCAGAGGCCUGGUUUCUGACCCACGCAGUCUGGUGCCCGUCGGGGUGAGGGCUGCUGCGUCCCCAGGGGGCACAUGGAUGCUGAGAGAAUCAAAACAGGCUGCAUCUGACGCAUGCUGCCCGGGCGGUCUUGGUGGGAUCUCCGAGGCCUCUGCGGUCACCCCCCAGAGAUCAUCCCCGCCUUCUGCAGCCUCAUUCUCUCAGUGCCCCCAGCCUUGCUCCAUCCGUCUGCACGUGGCUGCACUGGACCCUAUUGGAUCGGCAAUGCCCUUUCCCUCCACCCUUUGGGCAGGUUCUGCACAGUGGCUGGUGCAGGAUUAGAGUAGAUGCGGCUUGGGUGGUCUGCUGAAUGUCCCCUCUCCCGCUGCUGGACGGCUUACUCAGCCUUCUCGGGGCCCCAGGUUCUCACCUGUAAGUCAGGAGCCAUAACCAGCACCUUCCUCAUGGGGCCGAUACAGGGUUUAAAUGAGAAGGUCUAGGGCAGUGGCUGCUUGAGGCUCAAUAACUGCAACUAUCACUAUUUUUAUCCUCGAGGCACAAACUAAAUGCCAUGAGCUCUACUAAGAGCCAGAAGCAGUGUCGGCUGCUGGGAUGUAGAAACCCUACAUCCCAGCCCCAGGGAGGCACAGCCUGGGGGGCAGGGAGCAGGG
Long non-coding RNA from Balaenoptera ricei (Rice's whale), 1395 nucleotides. RefSeq lists it as uncharacterized. The transcript is spliced from 3 exons. Lineage: Eukaryota; Metazoa; Chordata; Mammalia; Artiodactyla; Balaenopteridae. The record is from RefSeq and is a predicted model, not a curated record.